CAGUGUUUCCCGGGGUGUUUCCUGACUGGUGCUGGCCAGGCCUUUCAGGAAUCUGAGAUUAUACCCGUAAAACCUGAUCAGGGUAAUGCCUGCGCAGGGAAGGAGGUCAUGCUAUGCC
This 118-nucleotide non-coding RNA is filed under the name Sphingobacteriales bacterium. RNAcentral describes it as "TPP sequence". It matches the Rfam family "TPP riboswitch aptamer (THI element)". Rfam says of the family: Vitamin B(1) in its active form thiamin pyrophosphate (TPP) is an essential coenzyme that is synthesised by coupling of pyrimidine and thiazole moieties in bacteria. The previously detected thiamin-regulatory element, thi box was extended, resulting in a new, highly conserved RNA secondary structure, the THI element, which is widely distributed in eubacteria and also occurs in some archaea. Analysis of operon structures identified a large number of new candidate thiamin-regulated genes, mostly transporters, in various prokaryotic organisms. Lineage: Bacteria; Pseudomonadati; Bacteroidota; Sphingobacteriia; Sphingobacteriales. The record is from RNAcentral.